RNAcentral lists this ribosomal RNA (440 nucleotides) under uncultured bacterium. RNAcentral's name for it is "partial 16S ribosomal RNA". It matches the Rfam family "Bacterial small subunit ribosomal RNA", at positions 338 to 795 of the family's 1533-position model. The record is from RNAcentral.
CCUACGGGUGGCAGCAGUGGGGAAUAUUGCACAAUGGGGGAAACCCUGAUGCAGCGACGCCGCGUGAGUGAAGAAGUAUUUCGGUACGUAAAGCUCUAUCAGCAGGGAAGAAAAUGACGGUACCUGACCAAGAAGCCCCGGCUAACUACGUGCCAGCAGCCGCGGUAAUACGUAGGGGGCAAGCGUUAUCCGGAUUUACUGGGUGUAAAGGGAGCGUAGACGGCAGUGCAAGUCUGGAGUGAAAUGCCGGGGCCCAACCCCGGAACUGCGUUGGAAACUGUGCAGCUGGAGUGCAGGAGAGGUAAGCGGAAUUCCUAGUGUAGCGGUGAAAUGCGUAGAUAUUACGCAGAACGCCGAUUGCGAAGGCAGCUUACCGGCGCUCAACUGACGCUGAGGCACGGAAGUGCGGGUAUCGAACAGGAUUAGAUACCCGAGUAGUC